Long non-coding RNA from Cotesia glomerata, 505 nucleotides. RefSeq lists it as uncharacterized. The record is from RefSeq and is a predicted model, not a curated record. The transcript is spliced from 4 exons. Lineage: Eukaryota; Metazoa; Arthropoda; Insecta; Hymenoptera; Braconidae.
AUUAAUAAUUAAAAGAAAAAAAAAUGGUAAAAUUACCUUAAAGAGAAAUAUUGUCCAAGGUGGUUGUCGAUUCCCGGCAAAUAUAAAAUCAUCGAAGGUGCACACAGUACAAACACUCGAAUGAAUCUAAAGAAAGGUUUAAGAACAAACCUGUACACAAACUACCCGACAAAACAGGGCUGGUUGAAUUUACCAAUCAGAGUCUUGCUGCUCAAUUUCGUUAAGCUAGUACUGGAGCAACCACCACCACCACUUCAAAUAAAAAUGGUAGUAAUUUUUCAGGCACGAUUCAAGACACAUGGACAAGUGGGUGGUUGAAGAAGGAGUUUAAGAACCAGGGUGGUGUACCAGUCAGCUUUGCCGACACGCGACUUCCGGCUACUGAACUACCAGGCACGCUACUAUAUACGCUGUGUAAAAUAAUGCUUUUCUAACUAUAAUAAUAAAGUUUUCCAAUAAUUAUGCAGUAAUUCAGUAAAACUUUGUAAAUAAUAUUGUGAAGAAU